UUAAACUGAAGAGUUUGAUCCUGGCUCAGAUUGAACGCUGGCGGCAUGCCUUACACAUGCAAGUCGAACGGCAGCACGGGUGCUUGCACCUGGUGGCGAGUGGCGAACGGGUGAGUAAUACAUCGGAACAUGUCCUGUAGUGGGGGAUAGCCCGGCGAAAGCCGGAUUAAUACCGCAUACGAUCUACGGAUGAAAGCGGGGGACCUUCGGGCCUCGCGCUAUAGGGUUGGCCGAUGGCUGAUUAGCUAGUUGGUGGGGUAAAGGCCUACCAAGGCGACGAUCAGUAGCUGGUCUGAGAGGACGACCAGCCACACUGGGACUGAGACACGGCCCAGACUCCUACGGGAGGCAGCAGUGGGGAAUUUUGGACAAUGGGCGAAAGCCUGAUCCAGCAAUGCCGCGUGUGUGAAGAAGGCCUUCGGGUUGUAAAGCACUUUUGUCCGGAAAGAAAUCCUUGGCUCUAAUACAG
This 469-nucleotide ribosomal RNA is filed under the name Burkholderia cepacia. RNAcentral's name for it is "bacterial SSU rRNA". It matches the Rfam family "Bacterial small subunit ribosomal RNA", at positions 1 to 467 of the family's 1533-position model. Lineage: Bacteria; Pseudomonadati; Pseudomonadota; Betaproteobacteria; Burkholderiales; Burkholderiaceae. The record is from RNAcentral. RNAcentral also lists the same sequence under 1 other name.